This 406-nucleotide ribosomal RNA is filed under the name uncultured bacterium. Its description in RNAcentral is "partial 16S ribosomal RNA". It matches the Rfam family "Bacterial small subunit ribosomal RNA", at positions 30 to 526 of the family's 1533-position model. The record is from RNAcentral.
AUUGAACGCUGGCGGCAGGCCUAACACAUGCAAGUCGAACGAGUGGCGGACGGGUGAGUAAUGUCUGGGAAACUGCCUGAUGGAGGGGGAUAACUACUGGAAACGGUAGCUAAUACCGCAUACCAUCAGAGGUGCCCAGCUGGGAUUAGAGAGUUGGUGGGGUAAGGGCUAACCAGGGCGCCGAUCCCUCGCUGGUCUGGGAGGAUGACCAGUCACACGUGAACUUAGACACGGUCCAGAGUCCUACGGGAGGCAGCAGUGGUGAAUAAUGCACAAUGGGCGCAAGCACGAUGCAGCCAUGCCGCGUGUAGGAUGAAGUGCUUCGGGUUGUAAAGUACUUUCAGCGGGGAGGCGUUACCCGCAGAAGAAGCACCGGCUAACGCCGUGCCAGCAGCCGCGGUAAUUC